This 77-nucleotide transfer RNA is filed under the name Lentisphaerota bacterium. Its description in RNAcentral is "Lentisphaerae bacterium (anaerobic digester metagenome) tRNA-Ala". It matches the Rfam family "tRNA". From Rfam's summary of the family: Transfer RNA (tRNA) molecules are approximately 80 nucleotides in length. Lineage: Bacteria; Pseudomonadati; Lentisphaerota. The record is from RNAcentral.
GGGGCAUUAGCUCAGUUGGCUAGAGCGCUUGCAUGGCAUGCAAGAGGUCAUCGGUUCAACUCCGAUAUGCUCCACCA